UACGAAGGGGGCUAGCGUUGUUCGGAAUUACUGGGCGUAAAGGGCUCGUAGGCGGCCAACUAAGUCCGACGUGAAAUCCCUCAGCUUAACUGGGGAACUGCGUCCGAUACUGGAUGGCUUGAGUUUGGGAGAGGGAUGCGGAAUUCCAGGUGUAGCGGUGAAAUGCGUAGAUAUCUGGAGGAACACCGGUGGCGAAGGCGGCAUCCUGGACCAACACUGACACUGAGGAGCGAAAGCCAGGGGAGCAAACGGG
RNAcentral lists this ribosomal RNA (253 nucleotides) under uncultured bacterium. Its description in RNAcentral is "partial 16S ribosomal RNA". It matches the Rfam family "Bacterial small subunit ribosomal RNA", at positions 524 to 776 of the family's 1533-position model. The record is from RNAcentral.